Molecule: ribosomal RNA, 371 nt
Filed under: uncultured bacterium
Lineage: Bacteria
Description: bacterial SSU rRNA
Rfam family: Bacterial small subunit ribosomal RNA
Source: RNAcentral
ACGGAGGGGGCUAGCGUUGUUCGGAAUUACUGGGCGUAAAGCGCGCGUAGGCGGCUUGACAAGUUGGAGGUGAAAGCCCGGAGCUCAACUUCGGAAUUGCCUUCAAGACUGUCUCGCUAGAGGCAGGGAGAGGAGAGCGGAAUACCCAGUGUAGAGGUGAAAUUCGUAGAUAUUGGGUGGAACACCGGUGGCGAAGGCGGCUCUCUGGCCCUGAUCUGACGCUAAGGCGCGAAAGCGUGGGGAGCAAACAGGAUUAGAUACCCUGGUAGUCCACGCCGUAAACUAUGAGUGCUAGAUGUUGGGAGGUUUACUUCUCAGUGUCGCAGCUAACGCAUUAAGCACUCCGCCUGGGGAGUACGGCCGCAAGGUUA